Firmicutes bacterium CAG:791 is the source of this 138-nucleotide regulatory RNA element. It matches the Rfam family "THF (Tetrahydrofolate) riboswitch aptamer". From Rfam's summary of the family: THF riboswitch presents a pseudoknot that joins P1-P2 and the loop of P3 and two THF binding. The record is from Rfam. Lineage: Bacteria; Bacillati; Bacillota.
UGCAGAGUAGGAACAAAUGCGUUGGUCUGUAUCGGAAAUGGAUUCCGGAGAGACCUGUAGUGCUGCGGGAACAGGGAGUUGUCCCGCGGACGAAAGACAGCGAUGCUGUCUACGGUGUUGGUUCCGCAUCCCGCUGCU